GAUGAACGCUGGCGGCGUGCCUAAUACAUGCAAGUCGAGCGAACAGACGAGGAGCUUGCUCCUCUGACGUUAGCGGCGGACGGGCGAGUAACACGUGGAUAACCUACCUAUAAGACUGGGAUAACUUCGGGAAACCGGAGCUACUACCGGAUAAUAUAUCGAACCGCAUGGAUCAAUAGUGAAAGACGGUUUUGCUGUCACUUAUAGAUGGAUCCGCGCCGCAUUAGCUAGUUGGUAAGGUAACGGCUUACCAAGGCAACGAUGCGUAGCCGACCUGAGAGGGUGAUCAGCCACACUGGAACUGAGACACGGUCCAGACUCCUACGGGAGGCAGCAGUAGGGAAUCUUCCGCAAUGGGCGAAAGCCUGACGGAGCAACACCGCGUGAGUGAUGAAGGUCUUCGGAUCGUAAAGCUCUGUUAUUAGGGAAGAACAAAUGUGUAAGUAACUAUGCACGUCUUGACGGUACCUAAUCAGAAAGCCACGGCUAACUACGUG
This 497-nucleotide ribosomal RNA is filed under the name uncultured bacterium. RNAcentral's name for it is "partial 16S ribosomal RNA". It matches the Rfam family "Bacterial small subunit ribosomal RNA", at positions 28 to 507 of the family's 1533-position model. The record is from RNAcentral.